CUACUUGAGUCAUUAUUGUAUUCUACAAAACCGAGUACUAAGAGCAAUGUAUUGAAUGCAUUGAGGAUGGAUCUUUCUGAAACAUUGUUUGUAAUAAUCUUAAUAACAUCUACCACAAGAUGUUUAAAUGCGGGUCCGUGCGACUCACCGAAGUCAUACGCAAACUUCCAGCGAAGAUUGUCAUCAAAUAAUAGAACCUCUGAAGAAACGCCACUAUCUGAUAGAUUUAUUGAUGAAGGGUGGUAUGGACAAGCCAAUGUUAAACUACUUGAAGUGGACCCACCUGGUGUUAAUCAUUGUGGAGCAAUAUAUCCCUUAUACUUAAAAGAUGCUGUCUAUAGCAAUAGCUCGCUGAGUACGGCCAUAGUGUGUGCUCAGUCCGGAGAUGACACCUGCCUGGAAGUGAAACAAAUUGAGACAAACUAUUGUCAGGAGUUGAACAUGUUUGUGUAUAAUCUUAAACGCAUAGAUUUAAGCGCAUCUGCAUACUGUAU
Long non-coding RNA from Patella vulgata (common limpet), 494 nucleotides. RefSeq lists it as uncharacterized. The record is from RefSeq and is a predicted model, not a curated record. The transcript is spliced from 3 exons. NCBI's taxonomy places the organism in Eukaryota, Metazoa, Mollusca, Gastropoda, Patellidae.